UAGCUUGCUACAGAUGACGACCGGCGCACGGGUGCGUAACGCGUAUAGAACCUACCUUGUAGUAAGGGAUAGCCCAGAGAAAUUUGGAUUAAUACCUUAUAGUAUCCUAAGUGAGCAUUCAUUAAUAAUUAAAGAUUUAUUGCUACAAGAUGGCUAUGCGUUCUAUUAGUUAGUUGGUAAGGUAACGGCUUACCAAGACAUCGAUAGAUAGGGGCCCUGAGAGGGGGAUCCCCCACACUGGUACUGAGACACGGACCAGACUCCUACGGGAGGCAGCAGUGAGGAAUAUUGGACAAUGGAGGCAACUCUGAUCCAGCCAUGCCGCGUGUAGGAAGACUGCCCUAUGGGUUGUAAACUACUUUUAUAGAGGAAGAAACCCCGAUAUGUAUAUCGGUUUGACGGUACUCUACGAAUAAGGAUCGGCUAACUCCGUGCCAGCAGCCGCGGUAAUACGGAGGAUCCAAGCGUUAUCCGGAAUCAUUGGGUUUAAAGGGUCCGUAGGCGGGUUUGUAAGUCAGUGGUGAAAGUUUUCGGCUCAACCGGAAAAUUGCCAUUGAUACUGCAAGUCUUGAAUCAUUAUGAAGUGGUUAGAAUAAGUAGUGUAGCGGUGAAAUGCAUAGAUAUUACUUAGAAUACCGAUUGCGAAGGCAGAUCACUAAUAAUGUAUUGACGCUAAGGGACGAAAGCGUGGGUAGCGAACAGGAUUAGAUACCCUGGUAGUCCACGCCGUAAACGAUGGUUACUAGCUGUUCGGACUUCGGUCUGAGUGGCUAAGCGAAAGUGAUAAGUAACCCACCUGGGGAGUACGUUCGCAAGAAUGAAACUCAAAGGAAUUGACGGGGGCCCGCACAAGCGGUGGAGCAUGUGGUUUAAUUCGAUGAUACGCGAGGAACCUUACCAGGGCUUAAAUGUAGAUUGACAGGUUUAGAGAUAGACUUUUCUUCGGACAAUUUACAAGGUGCUGCAUGGUUGUCGUCAGCUCGUGCCGUGAGGUGUCAGGUUAAGUCCUAUAACGAGCGCAACCCCUGUUGUUAGUUGCCAGCGAGUAAUGUCGGGAACUCUAACAAGACUGCCGGUGCAAACC
Molecule: ribosomal RNA, 1084 nt
Filed under: Flavobacteria sp. MaPt5
Lineage: Bacteria; Pseudomonadati; Bacteroidota; Flavobacteriia
Description: bacterial SSU rRNA
Rfam family: Bacterial small subunit ribosomal RNA
Source: RNAcentral